This is a non-coding RNA of Dendryphion nanum, 125 nucleotides long. The record is from the annotation of a GenBank genome assembly. Lineage: Eukaryota; Fungi; Ascomycota; Dothideomycetes; Pleosporales; Torulaceae.
AGCUACUUGGCGCAGGGGAAGCGCGCCGGGCUCAUAACCCGGAGGAGUAUGUUAACACCCUUGACGAAAUUCACAAGCGAUGAACUAACCUUUCAAUAGCGCCAGAUCGAAACUGGCAGUAGCUA